GAUAGGCAGUGCGCUCGCGAGCUACCCUGAUCUUCUCGCUACGUAUUUUGGACAAGCAGUGCGCUUGCAAGCAAGACUGUUUUUUUCUGUGUGUUUUGCACAUACGAUGCGCUCGCGCUGUACGAUGUUUUAAACGUGUGUUUGGAAUAGCCAGUGUGGGUCGACGACAGUAGCUUGUGAUGUUUUUUUUGUUUAAUAAAAAACGUUAAUUUGAGUUUUAGUUUUAACCGCAAUAAAAAUAUUUGAUUUUUUUACAUGCGGCUAUUUACAUUCCGUAUAAGCCCAACAGUAUUAUAGAUUUAGAUUUUUUGUUUCUCGGGGCAACUAGCUUCAAACGAGCUUUUUUUAUAUUUUUCUAUGCGAGCGGGCGAAUCAUAUUUUUCUGGAAUGAAGAGCGGCGAGCGCCCGCUCACUAAUGGGAGCGAGCGAACCUUAUGAUUCCCGCUCUUCUUGCCCAUGUCUAAUAGCGACCCUCUCCAUUAAUGCAUACGCCUUUUGACGAUAUUGCAGGUCUGUUUGAUUCCAAUAAUAAACAUCAACAAAAACACACACAAACGCGUACGCGCAACCAUAAAAACUACCUUCUUCUUCUUUUUGGCUCAACAACCGUUGUCGGUCAAGGCCUGCCUGUACCACUUGUGGGGUUGGCUUCCAGUGACAUUAUGGGUUAGGGUUCGAGGCUUUUGAAAUUUUAUUUAUUACCACGCAGCAUAAUAGUCAAUCCUUGCCACGGAGGGAAGGUCCAUUCUAGGCUUGAACCCGUGACGGACAUAUUAUUAAGUCGUUCGAGUUGAUGACUGUACCAUGGGAAAUCCUCCCCCCCCCCCCCCCCCUACUAGCAUUUAAGACGUAGAUAUUCCCAAGUAGCAGAGCCGAAGUUGCUCAGAGAUUUUUCUGUGUGCCAAAGCGAGAUGCCCUGUCUUCUUUCUCCAGAUUUUGGACAGCAAACUGCCGCGCGUGUAGAGGUGUGUGCGUGUGACAAAAAUGAUGGAUGAAAAACGCGAGGAGCGGGGUCUGAAGUCUUUCGUUGGUCACACACAUAUGCAUCUACCAGCGGAUUAAGCUUCACCGAGUCUACCCAUCUCUCUCGAUCUACCAUGAUUUUUUCUGCUAUCGCACUCAUCCGGGUGUUAAGCAUCCUCAGUCUAUCCUGAACUUUCGUUGUGGAAGGAUGUGCGGGAGUGAUGUGCGAUUUCUUGUGUCCCCUACUUUCCUUGUUUACGUUUUGCCCAGUGUUGCUUCUUCUUCCAUUGUGGAAUGAUUUAUCCUAGCUAACUUGUUGAGUUACAGGUGCAUGCGCCAUUCAUCAACGCCUACGUGUUGGCAUCAUCAACAAUCUUCAAAGUGGGUGACGGAAAGAAAUUGUUUUCCAGUUUUAAAAUAUUAAGCUCUGAUGGUACCCCGGACGCGGUAAGAAGAAAAAAGAUCGAGAGUAGGAAGAACGGUAAAUUUGGAAGGGGGAGACCGUUCUGCCGUCUACACAGUGUGAGUAUGCCAAAGCACGUGUUGGAACGGAGCGAAAAAGUUGGAAUAAACCGCAUGCGAAUGUGUGCAUACAGCAAAUGUAAGCAUGUGUGCCUCAUCCUUUCUAUAAGCAAUCCGAAAAGGGGGUGGAGCAAACACAUUGGUAUGCGUGAGGUGCAGAAGAAAUCAGAGCGUGAUAGUAUGUGUGAACGCGAUCGUUCGGGUGGAAGGUGUCUAUGUGUGCGUGAAACCACAUUUACACUUCUACUGCAAGUGGGUACGUAAGUGGGUACCCAACAGUCAAAAGCCGAAGAUUUUAUAUUGACCUUUCACUUUUUCUAUCUGUCUCUCGCUCUAAAUUGAGCGAUUUUCCCCUGAUGAGUGUCCCCGAGCCUCCUCGUGUGGUUGUUGUUGUUGGAAGUUGAAGCCGAACCCCCUUCGUGCGCUGCCAAAAUCAGCGAAGAACGAAAUCGAGUGGCUCAAGCGAAAGAACGAAAAAAAUGAUGAGCGAGUGUGCUGUGACAAUAACACACACGCACGCACAAGGCGACACCCGAAAUCUGGUGCGAUACCGGCUUUCAGUGGAGCAAGUACACACAUGCACACAUUUGGCCACACCAGCGCUCUGUUCUAGUGCAGGUAGUUUUCUGCAGUCCACGGUGAUACUACACACAGCCACGCACUUGGCGAUACACGCUGUGUGGUGGACGUUCAGAAUUCAGUGGUGCAAAUACACACAUGCAUACACUUGGCGACACACGCUCUGCUGUGCGGUGAGAUUUGUGUUCUGUGUCCAGUGGUGCAAAUAUACACACACACGCACUUGGCUACACACGCAGUACGGCGCGGUUGGCUUGGCAGAAGCGCAUACACAAAUUCACGCAGUAGGCUUCACUUUCAGUCCAGUGAGGUUGGUGCUUGUGUGGUGUUUCAGCGCUUGGCGGGUAAACCCCGUAAAAAAUGGAGUUUUGUUUAAUUUGAGGUAAGUAAAAGUGAUUAAAAUUAUCAACCAACAUCCCCCCUUCUAAUUAAUAUAAUUUUUCUUCCAUUUCAUGUGUUUUUCACCGCGAACGGAGACAACAAAACCUGUGUUUGUGAUGUGCAAAUGUUGGUGCAAAUGACGGGUACAGUGGAAAGAUGACAACCAUGAUCAACAGCGGUGGAGUGCAGAAAGUACGGUGAAAAUGUUGCGUUUUAUUCACGGAACAGUUGAUAAAAGUGUUUUUAAUAUAAUGUGCCAUAAUUUGUGUAAUUUGCGAAGUGUUGACCGUGUGUGAAAUAGUUGUUAGUGCGUCUCAUUAAACCGAUUUAUUUGCUUAAAUAAAUCAAGUUGUUCUACUA
Molecule: long non-coding RNA, 2805 nt
Organism: Anopheles gambiae (African malaria mosquito)
Lineage: Eukaryota; Metazoa; Arthropoda; Insecta; Diptera; Culicidae
Exons: 3
Source: RefSeq, a predicted model, not a curated record